RNAcentral lists this ribosomal RNA (496 nucleotides) under uncultured bacterium. Its description in RNAcentral is "partial 16S ribosomal RNA". It matches the Rfam family "Bacterial small subunit ribosomal RNA", at positions 29 to 507 of the family's 1533-position model. The record is from RNAcentral.
AUGAACGCUGGCGGCGUGCCUAAUACAUGCAAGUCGCGCGAACAGACGAGGAGCUUGCUCCUCUGACGUUAACGGCGGACGGGUGAGUAACACGUGGAUAACCUACCUAUAAGACUGGGAUAACUUCGGGAAACCGGAGCUAAUACCGGAUAAUAUAUUGAACCGCAUGGUUCAAUAGUGAAAGACGGUUUUGCUGUCACUUAUAGAUGGAUCCGCGCCGCAUUAGCUAGUUGGUAAGGUAACGGCUUACCAAGGCAACGAUGCGUAGCCGACCUGAGAGGGUGAUCGGCCACACUGGAACUGAGACACGGUCCAGACUCCUACGGGAGGCAGCAGUAGGGAAUCUUCCGCAAUGGGCGAAAGCCUGACGGAGCAACGCCGCGUGAGUGAUGAAGGUCUUCGGAUCGUAAAACUCUGUUAUUAGGGAAGAACAAAUGUGUAAGUAACUAUGCACGUCUUGACGGUACCUAAUCAGAAAGCCACGGCUAACUACGUG